Molecule: ribosomal RNA, 512 nt
Filed under: uncultured Paracoccaceae bacterium
Lineage: Bacteria; Pseudomonadati; Pseudomonadota; Alphaproteobacteria; Rhodobacterales; Paracoccaceae
Description: bacterial SSU rRNA
Rfam family: Bacterial small subunit ribosomal RNA
Source: RNAcentral
CCGUGCCCGUGAUUGAUGAAGGCCCUAGGGUUGUAAAGAUCUUUCAACAGUGAAGAUAAUGACGGUAACUGUAGAAGAAGCUCCGGCUAACUCCGUGCCAGCACCCGCGGUAAUACGGAGGGAGCUAGCGUUGUUCAGAAUUACUGGGCGUAAAGCGCGCGUAGGCGGAUUAUUAAGUCAGAGGUGAAAUCCCGGGGCUCAACCCCGGAACUGCCUUUGAUACUGGUAGUCUAGAGGUCGAGAGAGGUGAGUGGAAUUCCGAGUGUAAAGGUGAAAUUCGUAAAUAUUCGGAGGAACACCAGUGGCGAAGGCGGCUCACUGGCUCUAUACCGCCGCUGAGGUGCGAAAGUGUGGGUAGCAAACAGGAUAUAAUACCCUGGUCCUCCCCACCGAAAACGAUGAAUGCUAGUCGUUUUGGGACUUCUCCUUUGGUGACCCAACUCACACAUUAUGCUUUCCGCCGGGGGAGGACGGUGGAAAAAAAAUCAAAGAAAAUGGAAGGGGGGGGCGUU